GUAGGUGGCAAGCGUUGUCCGGAAUUAUUGGGGCGUAAAGCGCGCGCAGGCGGUUCUUUAAGUCUGAUGUGAGAGCCCACGGGCUCAACCGUGGAGGGUCAUUGGAAACUGGGGAACUUGAGUACAGAAGAGGAAAGCGGAAUUCCACGUGUAGCGGUGAAAUGCGUAGAGAUGUGGAGGAACACCAGUGGCGAAGGCGGCUUUCUGGUCUGUAACUGACGCUGAGGCGCGAAAGCGUGGGGAGCAAACAGGAUUAGAUACCCUGGUAGUCCACGCCGUAAACGAUGAGUGCUAAGUGUUAGGGGGUUUCCGCCCCUUAGUGCUGCAGCUAACGCAUUAAGCACUCCGCCUGGGGAGUACGGCCGCAAAGGCUGA
RNAcentral lists this ribosomal RNA (375 nucleotides) under uncultured organism. RNAcentral's name for it is "partial 16S ribosomal RNA". It matches the Rfam family "Bacterial small subunit ribosomal RNA", at positions 527 to 897 of the family's 1533-position model. The record is from RNAcentral.